AGAGACAGCAGUCGCCGCGGUAAUACGUAUGUCACAAGCGUUAUCCGGAUUUAUCGGGCGUAAAGCGCGUCUAGGUGGUUAUGUAAGUCUGAUGUGAAAAUGCAGGGCUCAACUCUGUAUUGCGUUGGAGACUGUGUAACUAGAGUACUGGAGAGGUAAGCGGAACUACAAGUGUAGAGGUGAAGUUCGUAGAUAUUUGUAGGAAUGCCGAUGGGGAAGCCAGCUUACUGGACAGAUACUGACGCUGAAGCGCGAAAGCGUGGGUAGCAAACAGGAUUAGAUACCCCUGUAGUCCCUGUCUCUUAUACA
RNAcentral lists this ribosomal RNA (309 nucleotides) under uncultured bacterium. Its description in RNAcentral is "partial 16S ribosomal RNA". It matches the Rfam family "Bacterial small subunit ribosomal RNA", at positions 504 to 808 of the family's 1533-position model. The record is from RNAcentral.